ACAAAGUUUGAUUCUUUCUUUGAUUUUUAUGAUUUUUCUGAAAAUGCAUGAAAAUCGUUGUGAGUAGUUGAUAGAUAUGUUUAAUACUAUGAAAGGAAAAAGAAGUUAAAGAGUUUUAUAAGCUAUGAGUCUCAGCAUAAAAAAUUAAUUGAAUCUAUGAAUGUAGGACUUAGUAGGAAGUUUAAACCUGAUAAAAUAUUGUGCCAGCAGUCGCGGUUAGACUUAAAGGUUGAGUAAAAACUUAUAAGGUUGUAAUUAAACAAAAGGUUAGAAAGUGGUUAGAAGAAUAAAAGGUGAAAUUGAAUUAUUCUGUUUAAUAAGAUAAAUGUUAGCCUUAAGUUGAAGUUAAAAACUAUUAGAGAUAAACUAGGAUUAGAUACCCUACUAUACUAAUAGGCAUAGAAUGAAAACUAAAUUAUUAAUAGAUAUAUACUUUAAACUUGAAGAAUUUGGCGGUGGUUUAGUCUUGUUAGAGGAACCUGUUUUUGAAUCGAUAAACCACGCAGGAUUUCACUCAUAUUAAUUAGUUUGUAUACCGUCAUUAUCAGAUAAUUUUCAAAGAAAAAAUUAUUAAAGUUUAUCGGGAUUGGUAAGUAAAAUUAGAUCAAGGUGCAGCUUAUAAAUGAGUUAAAAUGGGUUACAAUAAAUUUUAUUUACUAUGGAAUAGUUGUGAGAAAAAGCAUUAAGAAGGUGGAUUUAAUUGUAAUGCGAGUUUAAUAAGCUUGGAAGAUAUUAGCUCUAAACCAUGUACAUAUCGCCCGUCGCUCUCAUUACAUAGAUGAGAUAAGUCGUAACAUAGUAGAUUUACUGGAAAGUUAAUCUAGUUUGAG
This 830-nucleotide non-coding RNA is filed under the name Etisus anaglyptus. Lineage: Eukaryota; Metazoa; Arthropoda; Malacostraca; Decapoda; Xanthidae. The record is from RNAcentral.